GACGAACGCUGGCGGCGUGCCUAAUACAUGCAAGUCGAGCGCAGGAACUCAUCCCAACCCUUCGGGGGGACGUUGACGGAAUGAGCGGCGGACGGGUGAUUAACACGCUAAGAACCUGCCCUCACUUCUGGGAUAACCACGAGAAAUCGGGGCUAAUACCGGAUGGGUCAUCGGACCGCAUGGUCCGAGGAUUAAUGGCGCUCCGACGUCGCCCGGGGCUGGCUUUGCGGUGCAUUAGCUAGUUGGUGGGGUAAUGGCCCACCAAGGCGACGAUGCAUAGCCGACCUGAGAGGGUGAUCGGCCACACUGGAACUGAGACACGGCCCAGACUCCUACGGGAGGCAGCAGUAGGGAAUCUUCCACAAUGGGCGAAAGCCUGAUGGAGCAACGCCGCGUGAACGAUGAAGGCCCUCGGGUCGUAAAGUUCUGUUGUAAGGGAAGAACAAGUGCCGCAGGCAAUGGCGGCACCUUGACGGUACCUUGCGAGAAAGCCACGGCUAACUACGUG
RNAcentral lists this ribosomal RNA (508 nucleotides) under uncultured bacterium. RNAcentral describes it as "partial 16S ribosomal RNA". It matches the Rfam family "Bacterial small subunit ribosomal RNA", at positions 28 to 507 of the family's 1533-position model. The record is from RNAcentral.